Molecule: ribosomal RNA, 478 nt
Filed under: uncultured bacterium
Lineage: Bacteria
Description: partial 16S ribosomal RNA
Rfam family: Bacterial small subunit ribosomal RNA
Source: RNAcentral
GAUGAACGCUGGCGGCGUGCCUAACACAUGCAAGACGAACGGAGUCCAGCCUUUAAGACCUUCGGGUCAAAGAGGGGAAGACUGAGUGGCGGACGGGUGAGUAACACGUGGGCAACCUGGCUCAUAGAGGGGGAUAACAGAGAGAAAUUUCUGCUAAUACCGCAUAAGCACACACUGCCGCAUGGCAGAGGGUGAAAAGAGAAUCGCUAUGAGAUGGACCCGCGUCUGAUUAGCCAGUUGGCAGGGUAAGAGCCUACCAAAGCGACGAUCAGUAGCCGAUCUGAGAGGAUGAACGGCCACAUUGGGACUGAGACACGGCCCAAACUCCUACGGGAGGCAGCAGUGGGGGAUAUUGCACAAUGGGGGGAACCCUGAUGCAGCGACGCCGCGUGAGUGAAGAAGUAUUUCGGUAUGUAAAGCUCUAUCAGCAGGGAAGAUAAUGACAGUACCUGAAUAAGAAGCCCCGGCUAACUACGUG